Molecule: ribosomal RNA, 800 nt
Filed under: uncultured Bacteroidota bacterium
Lineage: Bacteria; Pseudomonadati; Bacteroidota
Description: bacterial SSU rRNA
Rfam family: Bacterial small subunit ribosomal RNA
Source: RNAcentral
AUACAUGCAAGUCGAACGGUAAAUAUUUUAGCAAUAAGAUAUGAGAGUGACGUACGGGUGCGUAACACGUAUGCAACCUACCUUGUACAGGAGUAUAGCUCGGGGAAACUCGAAUUAACCCUUCAUAAGAUCAUAGAAUGGCAUCAUUUAGUGAUUAAAUCUUCGGAGGUACAAGAUGGGCAUGCGUCUGAUUAGUUAGUUGGCGGGGUAACGGCCCACCAAGACGAUGAUCAGUAGGGGAACUGAGAGGUUGAUCCCCCACACUGGCACUGAGAUACGGGCCAGACUCCUACGGGAGGCAGCAGUAGGGAAUAUUGGUCAAUGGAUGGAAGUCUGAACCAGCCAUGCCGCGUGCAGGAAGAAGGCCUUCUGGGUUGUAAACUGCUUUUGCCGGGGGAUAAAAUGACCGUGCGCGGUUAAUUGAAGGUACCCGGUGAAUAAGCCACGGCUAACUACGUGCCAGCAGCCGCGGUAAUACGUAGGUGGCAAGCGUUGUCCGGAUUUAUUGGGUUUAAAGGGUGCGUAGGCGGUCUAUUAAGUCAGCGGUGAAAUACUCCAGCUUAACUGGAGGGGUGCCAUUGAUACUGAUGGACUUGAGUCAAGUCGAGGUAGGCGGAAUUGACGGUGUAGCGGUGAAAUGCUUAGAUAUCGUCAAGAACACCAAUAGUGAAGACAGCUUACUGGGCUUAAACUGACGCUGAGGCACGAAAGUGUGGGGAUCAAACAGGAUUAGAUACCCUGGUAGUCCACACUGUAAACGUUGAUUACUCGCUGUUGGCGAUACACAGCCAGCGGCCAAG